Molecule: long non-coding RNA, 393 nt
Organism: Pararge aegeria (speckled wood butterfly)
Lineage: Eukaryota; Metazoa; Arthropoda; Insecta; Lepidoptera; Nymphalidae
Exons: 4
Source: RefSeq, a predicted model, not a curated record
UUUUGAUCGUAUAUAAUAUUGCAGUUCUAGUAUAAAAGAAAGAAAAUGUUAUUUUUAAAUUGAAGUCACCUGAGGACGGUUACAACAAUGGGUUCUAGAUUUUUUAUUUUAAGCAUUUUGAUGGCAUUUUUCGUUGUCAUUGGAAGCUGCAGCUUGUUCAGUCCAUAUCCACUUUAUCCUGAUAACGAUGAACCUACGAUUAAUGUAAACCCGGUGAACAAUGCUGAAUCUGAGAGUAAUUCAUCACCAUUUACAUCGCAAACUGCCCACUUGCACGAUGGAGACGGAUAUACCGGCUGGUAGUAGAACUUAAUAGAAGCUUCAAAAUUGAUGUCUUCAAGCACAGAAUAAUUUUCAAGAAAUAAAAAAAGAAAUAAACGAUUUUCAUUAACA